UUUUUUACUUGACUUUAUAUUUAAUUUAAUGCUUUAUAAUUACCAUGAUAUAUUUCAAAUUUAAUUCAUUAUUUUUUUUUACACAUAUAUACAUAAUACAUAAAAAUACAUUAUUUUCAAUGAUAAAUUUUUCACUGUACAAUGAACAAUUGCAAUUUCAAGCAAUUUUGUGGUUGUGGCUCAAUUGAUUGGUAAUUUUGUCUUCUUGCCUUUUUUGAUUGGGUUGGGCUGGAUAUACAUACUGAGA
This 247-nucleotide unclassified non-coding RNA is filed under the name Hevea brasiliensis (rubber tree). The record is from RNAcentral. Lineage: Eukaryota; Viridiplantae; Streptophyta; Magnoliopsida; Malpighiales; Euphorbiaceae.